ACUCCUACGGGAGGCAGCAGUGGGGAAUAUUGCACAAUGGGCGCAAGCCUGAUGCAGCCAUGCCGCGUGUGUGAAGAAGGCCUUCGGGUUGUAAAGCACUUUCAGUUGUGAGGAAAGGUUAGUCGCUAAUAUCGGCUAGCUGUGACGUUAGCAACAGAAGAAGCACCGGCUAACUCUGUGCCAGCAGCCGCGGUAAUACAGAGGGUGCGAGCGUUAAUCGGAUUUACUGGGCGUAAAGCGUGCGUAGGCGGCCAUUUAAGUCAAAUGUGAAAUCCCCGAGCUUAACUUGGGAAUUGCAUUCGAUACUGGGAUGGCUAGAGUAUGGGAGAGGAUGGUAGAAUUCCAGGUGUAGCGGUGAAAUGCGUAGAGAUCUGGAGGAAUACCGAUGGCGAAGGCAGCCAUCUGGCCUAAUACUGACGCUGAGGUACGAAAGCAUGGGGAGCAAACAGGAUUAGAUACCCUGGUAGGCGUAGU
RNAcentral lists this ribosomal RNA (474 nucleotides) under uncultured bacterium. RNAcentral's name for it is "bacterial SSU rRNA". It matches the Rfam family "Bacterial small subunit ribosomal RNA", at positions 335 to 803 of the family's 1533-position model. The record is from RNAcentral.